This 253-nucleotide ribosomal RNA is filed under the name uncultured bacterium. Its description in RNAcentral is "partial 16S ribosomal RNA". It matches the Rfam family "Bacterial small subunit ribosomal RNA", at positions 524 to 776 of the family's 1533-position model. The record is from RNAcentral.
GACAGAGGGUGCAAACGUUGUUCGGAAUCACUGGGCGUAAAGCGCGUGUAGGCGGCCAUGCAAGUCGGAUGUGAAAUCCCGCGGCUCAACCGUGGAAGAGCACUCGAAACUGCUUGGCUAGAGUCCUGGAGAGGAAGGUGGAAUACUCGGUGUAGAGGUGAAAUUCGUAGAUAUCGAGUGGAACACCGGUGGCGAAGGCGGCCUUCUGGACAGUGACUGACGCUGAGACGCGAAAGCGUGGGGAGCAAACAGG